UCGACUUAGCCAGGACGGCCUGGCACUGCACCUCCAGCCUUCUGCUCCGCUGGGCUGCCCUUGCCCUGACUCAGCCUGGGGUUUAAGACCUCGGAGCUCUGGCUUCCUAGGAGGGGCAAAGUCCGAGGGAGCAGAAGGUGCAGCUGCAGCAGGGAGGAGAAACCAAGUGGGGACCCCUUCUCGAUAAAGCCCCCGAGAAACUUAGAUGAAGGAGAGCUGUGGCAUUGGUCCCCCCAAAUUAAAAGUGCUUGAGGAUCUGAGAACUGACCUCUCCAGUGAAGGAGCUGAGAUUUACAACUAGCAACUGAGGAGGGAGUAAGAGAAGGCAAAACAAGACGUUACCCAAGUAAUAGAGACAGCCACAAACCAGGCUCCUAGGAUCGAAUGCAUCAUCUUGACACGAACCCUUGAGAUGUUUUUACAGGGACAAGGACUCAAUCAAGUGUCCCAGCCCUUGGAAUGUGCUGACCAGAUGUGGAAGAAGGACCCCAGGCUGACGAGCCAGGAGAGUGCUAAGCAGAAGCCAGGGCCGACUCUUUGUCCUGUGCAGGCUGCUUGCACGUCCGCACCCCCUUCUGCUCUUCCCACCCACCAGUCUCUCCCUUAACCUUAAAAAUCCUUGCUUGCAAGCUUUCAAAGAGCUCGGGUUCUUGUUCAGCAUUAGCUGCCUGACUUCCAAUUACUUGGCCUCGUAAUUAAAGCCUAAUUCCCCUCAUUGCAA
Long non-coding RNA from Cynocephalus volans (Philippine flying lemur), 721 nucleotides. RefSeq lists it as uncharacterized. The record is from RefSeq and is a predicted model, not a curated record. NCBI's taxonomy places the organism in Eukaryota, Metazoa, Chordata, Mammalia, Dermoptera, Cynocephalidae. The transcript has 2 exons.